CCUACGGGUGGCUGCAGUGGGGAAUAUUGCACAAUGGGCGCAAGCCUGAUGCAGCCAUGCCGCGUGUGUGAAGAAGGCCUUCGGGUUGUAAAGCACUUUCAGCGGGGAGGAAGGCGGUGAGGUUAAUAACCUCAUCGAUUGACGUUACCCGCAGAAGAAGCACCGGCUAACUCCGUGCCAGCAGCCGCGGUAAUACGGAGGGUGCAAGCGUUAAUCGGAAUUACUGGGCGUAAAGCGCACGCAGGCGGUCUGUCAAGUCGGAUGUGAAAUCCCCGGGCUCAACCUGGGAACUGCAUUCGAAACUGGCAGGCUAGAGUCUUGUAGAGGGGGGUAGAAUACCAGGUGUAGCGGUGAAAUGCGUAGAGAUCUGGAGGAAUACCGGUGGCGAAGGCGGCCCCCUGGACAAAGACUGACGCUCAGGUGCGAAAGCGUGGGGAGCAAACAGGAUUAGAUACCCCGGUAGUC
This 465-nucleotide ribosomal RNA is filed under the name uncultured Klebsiella sp. RNAcentral describes it as "bacterial SSU rRNA". It matches the Rfam family "Bacterial small subunit ribosomal RNA", at positions 338 to 795 of the family's 1533-position model. Lineage: Bacteria; Pseudomonadati; Pseudomonadota; Gammaproteobacteria; Enterobacterales; Enterobacteriaceae. The record is from RNAcentral.